Molecule: ribosomal RNA, 492 nt
Filed under: uncultured bacterium
Lineage: Bacteria
Description: partial 16S ribosomal RNA
Rfam family: Bacterial small subunit ribosomal RNA
Source: RNAcentral
AGUGAACGCUGGCGGUAGGCCUAACACAUGCAAGUCGAACGGCAGCACAGUAAGAGCUUGCUCUUACGGGUGGCGAGUGGUGGACGGGUGAGGAAUACAUCGGAAUCUACUUUUUCGUGGGGGAUAACGUAGGGAAACUUACGCUAAUACCGCAUACGACCUACGGUUGAAAGCAGGGGAUCUUCGGACCUUGCGCGAUUGAAUGAGCCGAUGUCGGAUUAGCUAGUUGGCGGGGUAAAGGCCCACCAAGGCGACGAUCCGUAGCUGGUCUGAGAGGAUGAUCAGCCACACUGGAACUGAGACACGGUCCAGACUCCUACGGGAGGCAGCAGUGGGGAAUAUUGGACAAUGGGCGCAAGCCUGGUCCAGCCAUACCGCGUGGGUGAAGAAGGCCUUCGGGUUGUAAAGCCCUUUUGUUGGGAAAGAAAAGCAGCAGGUUAAUACCCCGCUGUUCUGACGGUACCCAAAGAAUAAGCACCGGCUAACUUCGUG